CUCCUACGGGAGGCAGCAGUGGGGAAUAUUGCACAAUGGGCGCAAGCCUGAUGCAGCAACGCCGCGUGAGGGACGACGGCCUUCGGGUUGUAAACCUCUUUUAGUAGGGAAGAAGCGAAAGUGACGGUACCUGCAGAAAAAGCACCGGCUAACUACGUGCCAGCAGCCGCGGUAAUACGUAGGGUGCGAGCGUUGUCCGGAAUUAUUGGGCGUAAAGAGCUCGUAGGCGGUCUGUCGCGUCUGCUGUGAAAACCCGAGGCUCAACCUCGGGCCUGCAGUGGGUACGGGCAGACUAGAGUGCGGUAGGGGAGAAUGGAAUUCCUGGUGUAGCGGUGGAAUGCGCAGAUAUCAGGAGGAACACCGAUGGCGAAGGCAGUUCUCUGGGCCGUAACUGACGCUGAGGAGCGAAAGCGUGGGGAGCGAACAGGAUUAGAUACCCUGGUAGUCCACGCCGUAAACGUUGGGCGCUAGAUGUGGGGACCAUUCCACGGUUUCCGUGUCGCAGCUAACGCAU
This 514-nucleotide ribosomal RNA is filed under the name uncultured bacterium. Its description in RNAcentral is "bacterial SSU rRNA". It matches the Rfam family "Bacterial small subunit ribosomal RNA", at positions 336 to 860 of the family's 1533-position model. The record is from RNAcentral.